GACGAACGCUGGCGGCGUGCCUAAUACAUGCAAGUUGAGCGCUGAAGGUUGGUACUUGUACCAACUGGAUGAGCAGCGCACGGGUGAGUAACGCGUGGGGAAUCUGCCUUUGAGCGGGGGACAACAUUUGGAAACGAAUGCUAAUACCGCAUAAAAACUUUAAACACAAGUUUUAAGUUUGAAAGAUGCAAUUGCGUCACUCAAGGAUGAUCCCGCGUUGUAUUAGCUAGUUGGUGAGGUAAAGGCUCACCAAGGCGAUGAUGGAUAGCCGACCUGAGAGGGUGACGGGCCACAAUGGGACUGAGAUAGGGCACAGACUCGUACGGGAGGAAGGAGUGGGGAAUAUUGCACGAUGGGCGGAAGCGUGAUGCAGCAACGCCGCGUGCGGGAUGACGGCCUUCGGGUUGUAAACAGCUUUCGACUGUGACGAAGCGUGAGUGACGGUAAUGGGUAAAGAAGCACCGGCUAACUACGUG
RNAcentral lists this ribosomal RNA (476 nucleotides) under uncultured bacterium. RNAcentral's name for it is "partial 16S ribosomal RNA". It matches the Rfam family "Bacterial small subunit ribosomal RNA", at positions 28 to 507 of the family's 1533-position model. The record is from RNAcentral.